This 474-nucleotide ribosomal RNA is filed under the name uncultured organism. RNAcentral's name for it is "partial 16S ribosomal RNA". It matches the Rfam family "Bacterial small subunit ribosomal RNA", at positions 335 to 800 of the family's 1533-position model. The record is from RNAcentral.
ACUCCUACGGGAGGCAGCAGUGGGGAAUUUUGGACAAUGGGCGAAAGCCUGAUCCAGCAAUGCCGCGUGAGUGAAGAAGGCCUUCGGGUUGUAAAGCUCUUUUGUCAGGGAAGAAACGGUGAAAGCUAAUAUCUUUUGCUAAUGACGGUACCUGAAGAAUAAGCACCGGCUAACUACGUGCUAGCAGCCGCGGUAAUACGUAGGGUGCAAGCGUUAAUCGGAAUUACUGGGCGUAAAGCGUGCGCAGGCGGUUUUGUAAGUCUGAUGUGAAAUCCCCGGGCUCAACCUGGGAAUUGCAUUGGAGACUGCAAGGCUAGAAUCUGGCAGAGGGGGGUAGAAUUCCACGUGUAGCAGUGAAAUGCGUAGAUAUGUGGAGGAACACCGAUGGCGAAGGCAGCCCCCUGGGUCAAGAUUGACGCUCAUGCACGAAAGCGUGGGGAGCAAACAGGAUUAGAAACCCGAGUAGUCCCAUGA